UAGUAAUGGGAAUGAACUUCUUAUUUCAAUUGACUUGCAUCAAAAUUUACAGGUCUAUUUGAAUUUGACAAGGCUAAAAAAAUGACUGAAGUAUCUCGGCAAGAUAAAACUACUAUUUUAUUUUAUUUGUGUAACUUUUUUUAGCAAGUUGAAUUGAUAUCUUGGGCAUUUUUACUUACAGUUAGAUUUCCAGGUUUGUUUGAAUCUAGAAAAGCAAAAAAGGUGGUUUAAGUGGUACAAGAUGCUGACAGAAUUGAAACUAGUCCAUGUGAAACAGAAAGGGCAAAGAAUGUGAGGGGAACAAAUAUUUGUAAGAAUGGUUUGCGACUGAGACCUGGAGAAAUAUUAAAAGCCACUUCUUAUCAAAAUCGUGGAGUCGGGCAGAAUCACAGUCUAAUUUACGAGGCACUUGGGUUUGCUAGUUCAUGAUCUUAAUAUGUAUCCACUGCGGGUAUACUUAUGGAUGGACAUCGAAGAGCAUACGCUUGAGCACAUGAGAAGUUUGACAGUGAUGACAUGAAUGAUCAAAGAGAUAAUGUUUUUCAACAUAUGAGAAAGCUUUGGAGUAAUUGGAGAGGAUCAUUGCACAAGAAUGUGAAAUCUAAAUCAUUCCCCGAGGUUCUUAAAGAUGUGCCGAUGUGAGUAGACAAGGGUGAUUGGUAAUGGUUGGUCAAGGAACAUUUGUUAUCUGAUAAAUUUAAGGAAGCAAGUACAAGAAACUCAGUCAAUAGAUCUAAGUUGUGUAUGCCUCAUCGUACGGGUAGCAAGCCUGUUAGAGAGAUUGUUUAUGAAAUGGGAGGCAAAGAUGGUAAUCCACUAAACAUGAAAACUAUUUUCUUUGAGACACGUAAGAAGGGAAAUGAGGUUGUCGAACCUGGAAUGGCUAAAAAAUAUGCUGAAAUCAUGAGCUUGUACAAUCUGAACCAUCUCUUACUAAUACUGAGGUAGUGGAAAGGUGCUUUGGACCGCAAUGCAAAAGUCACGUAGUUGGAUUUGGUGUUGGAAUAA
This is a long non-coding RNA of Solanum tuberosum (potato), 1008 nucleotides long. RefSeq lists it as uncharacterized. The record is from RefSeq and is a predicted model, not a curated record. Lineage: Eukaryota; Viridiplantae; Streptophyta; Magnoliopsida; Solanales; Solanaceae. The transcript has 6 exons.